This is a long non-coding RNA of Quercus lobata, 671 nucleotides long. RefSeq lists it as uncharacterized. NCBI's taxonomy places the organism in Eukaryota, Viridiplantae, Streptophyta, Magnoliopsida, Fagales, Fagaceae. The record is from RefSeq and is a predicted model, not a curated record. The transcript has 2 exons.
UCUGUCCUCUGUUCUACCGGCGUCGGUCUGGUUCUGAGUCUUCGUUUUGGUUGUGAUUGCUCACAAAUCUGAAAGGGAUGUUUGUGCUUCCGCCGAAGAUUCUAGCAGCACAUUGAUGAAAAACGGAGCCAAAAGGUUGCAUAAGGUUGAUUCCAACGGAGCCAAAACGGAGCCAAAACAGAGCUUGAUUCCAACGAUUGAUUUCCGAUUGUGGGUUUGGUUGUGGGUCUGAUUUUAUUUUCGGAUUGUGAUCGGCGUGGGCGUAGGCCUUUGGGUUGUGGGUCUGGUUUUUUUUUUCCCUUUUUGGUUCGCUUCCUCUCUGUUCUAUCGGCGUCCUCUGGUUGUUUUUGUCUCCGUUUUGGUUGCGAUUUCUGAUUGUGGGUCUGGUUGUGGGUCUGCUCUUUGAAUCAAUUCUUGGCGCAACAACUUUGUGAGUGGACUUCCGGUUUCGUGAAAGAGGCCCUGGUGAAAUCUGUGCACGAGAAUCACGACAGGAAUAGCUCACCGUACAGAACAAGCAGUCUCCAUAUCUAUUUAGAGCAUGGACUCAAGGAGUUAUUCAUCAUUCAUUGAUCUCGUACGGGGGAAUAUUAAUCUUGAGGAUGAAAUUUUCGAUGUAUCUGAAAGUAGUCCCCUGUUAGUCGAAGAUUCUCCAGUGAAUGAUGAAGUUG